This 305-nucleotide long non-coding RNA is filed under the name Mytilus galloprovincialis (Mediterranean mussel). Lineage: Eukaryota; Metazoa; Mollusca; Bivalvia; Mytilida; Mytilidae. The record is from RNAcentral.
ACUUUCGACCGCAAAAUAGAGUAUACUAAAACUUAUAAGCUCUUGACUUUGACGUGCUGGGUGAUUAUGUUUAUAGUGUAUCCAUAACAGUGUACGAUAACAGAUGGUCCAGGAUUCGCACAAACCAACUUAAGACUGUAACACUCUCUUUGACCUGAUAACUGUAACGUACUGAAACUUGAUAAAAUGCAGGAUUGGGCCAAAAAAAAUCUCGAAAAGAAAGGAAAAAAAACCCAGACCAUACCCUGGGUAAAAGUUGAAAUAACGAAGUAACGAACGUAAUUCUCAGAAAUUACAGAAUGAGC